CCUACGGGUGGCAGCAGUGAGGAAUAUUGGUCAAUGGGCGAGAGCCUGAACCAGCCAAGUAGCGUGAAGGAUGACUGCCCUACGGGUUGUAAACUUCUUUUAUAAAGGAAUAAAAUGAGGCACGGUUUCCUUUUUGUAUGUACUUAAUGAAUAAGGAUCGGUUAAAUCAGUGCAGGCAGCAGCGUUAAGACGGAGGAUCCGAGCGUUAUCCGGAUUAAUUGGGUUUAAAGGGAGCGUAGAUGGUUUGUUAAUCAAGUUGUGCAUGUUUGCGGCUCAACCGUAACAUUGCAGUUGAUACUGGCAGCCGUGAGUACAGUUGAGGUAGGCGGAAUUCGUGGUGUAGCGGUGAAAUGCUUAGAUAUCACGAAGAACUCCGAUUGCGAAGGCAGCUUACUAAACAGCCACUGACAUUGAUGCUCGAAAGUGUGGGUAUCAAACAGGAGUAGAUACCCCAGUAGUC
This 460-nucleotide ribosomal RNA is filed under the name uncultured bacterium. Its description in RNAcentral is "partial 16S ribosomal RNA". It matches the Rfam family "Bacterial small subunit ribosomal RNA", at positions 338 to 795 of the family's 1533-position model. The record is from RNAcentral.